CCUUUCUGCUUUGUCAUCCGGAUCCAGUUCCACGCUUCACCUUUGGUUUUGAAGACUGGGAGACUUAAAGGAAUCUUUGACUUUGGGUACUCUCUACAGACUUGGCUCAUAGUCAGCUUCAGGCUCCUCCUGUGUAUAGUACCUCUGAGCACAAUACAUUGUCCCUUUUAGUUUCAGCUCCCAAGAGCCAAACUUGCCAUUAGCAUCCAGGCAGGGCCCACUUGGUUCCUCACUGAGGAGUGUUAGGCAACUACGGAGCUGGUAGGUUUGUCUUUUUGUUCCAGGUACAGAGUUGUUUAUCUGUCUAGAAAAGGCCAGGCAUUGGUCUUUUUGACGUGAAAAAAGUUCAAGCCAGAAAACGGGCAAGCUGCUGUGAGCAUGUAACAUCUGUGAUGUCACAAACGUCUGUUUACAGACAGAGAAUGUGGACUCAUUUUCUAAGCCCUUGAAGUGUCUAGGACAGCAGGCUGCAUGGCAAAGCAGGGAGAUACAUCUGCUGAAUUGAAUUCAGUAUACUCAAAAUUCAGAUAUUCCAUUUUGCCAAGAGAUGGCGGAUGUGAGCAUAUCUCUUCAGUUCAGACCAUAUUUACAUCGUUUAGCUAUGACAUGGGCCUGGAGUUUUCUCUGCUCAAUUCAGGCAUAACAAUCAGCUAGAUUGAAACUCAUUGUUUGCAUGCCAUUCAGAGAGGAUAAGUAGUUAAGAAGACCCUACACUGACAUCUGUCAAGGGUAUGCCAUUUCACCAUGUGACACAUAGAGUAAGCCCAUGGCAGUUUGAAAGGCAGAUGCAAUGUUCUCUGCUCUGCGAUCCCUGCUGUCAAGAGUCUGCUGUUUCCUAAAGAAUCAUGAAAUAAAUUUGGGUCGAGCUUGUAGCAUUGAGGAGGAGCAGUAGAAGAAAUGAAGAAAACAUAUUCCAUCAUCUCUGAACUAUUCCAACAUUUUGUUUAUAUCACAUUACGUUCUGAUCACACUGUAGAGAAAAUUAUCUCUCACCACGUCUGUUUCUAGUUGAACAAGAGUUUCUCCAAGAAUUGGUACAGAUUUAGCAGAACUAUAAACCCUUAUGAAGAGGAUCACAAAAUGAAUAUGAGAAUGGAACAGUUUCCUCACAAAGGCACAAUAAAAAGACCACAUUUUUCAACAUGGGAAGGACAGUUGCCAGUCUUGGACGGAUUUCAG
RNAcentral lists this long non-coding RNA (1179 nucleotides) under Equus asinus (donkey). RNAcentral describes it as "lncRNA (ENSEASG00005029200.1)". The record is from RNAcentral. Lineage: Eukaryota; Metazoa; Chordata; Mammalia; Perissodactyla; Equidae.